GCACUUCCAUCUGUGUGCAUGUGGCCACUUGUGAUGCAAGACAGAGGCAGGACUGAGAAGACGAGAGGUGGGCUUCGUUCCUGAGAAUAUCCAGGAGUCCAAGAGAUCUAAAUUGGAAGAUGGCCUUCCAAUUUAGGUCAGUUUCCAAUUAAGAAGGCCAGGUUUUUAUGAAGCAAUAUUUGUCAAGGCAUGGACAUUCACUUUUGCAGAUGAGGAAACAAGAAUUCAGAGUUGAUUUGCACAUACGAAGCAAAACAAGUGAGAUCCAAGCCUCCAGACUCUACAACAGAUGCUUCCAAUAUCUAUGUCUAAUGAAGUAAACUACUCUGAAAAUCAAAAUGUGUAUUUUUUAAAUUAAUAAAAACUUUCUUUCUA
Molecule: long non-coding RNA, 375 nt
Filed under: Homo sapiens (human)
Lineage: Eukaryota; Metazoa; Chordata; Mammalia; Primates; Hominidae
Description: HSALNT0323752
Source: RNAcentral